RNAcentral lists this microRNA precursor (100 nucleotides) under Picea abies (Norway spruce). RNAcentral's name for it is "miR482d stem-loop (pab-MIR482d)". Its record names the gene pab-MIR482d. Lineage: Eukaryota; Viridiplantae; Streptophyta; Pinopsida; Pinales; Pinaceae. The record is from miRBase by way of RNAcentral.
AAGGCCAAAGGCUUGCGAGGAUAGGAAAAACUCGUGUGGUGUUGUAUUUUCUCACUCACCGAUCUACAGUUUUUCCCACUCCUCCCAAGCCCAUGGCCUU